Synchiropus splendidus (mandarinfish) is the source of this 444-nucleotide long non-coding RNA. RefSeq lists it as uncharacterized. NCBI's taxonomy places the organism in Eukaryota, Metazoa, Chordata, Actinopteri, Syngnathiformes, Callionymidae. The record is from RefSeq and is a predicted model, not a curated record. The transcript is spliced from 3 exons.
CAAAUGACAGUGACGAGAGAAAAGCGCGUCAGUAGAGAAGCACAUCCACAUCGAUAACGGUUGUGUCAUUGAUGAUAGAGGCGCCAGGUGGCGUCGUAACAUACACACUGGGUGAUGGCUCAGAGGAAAGCAUUUACCACACUGGGAGCAUUUGAAAGGAUUUUCUCCAGUAUGAAUUGUCAGGUGAAUCCUCAGACUCCCGUUCUGAGAAAAGCGUUUGCCACAGUGAGAGCAUCUGAAAGGCUUUUCUCCAGAGUGACAUCUCAUAACAAGUCAGGGGUCCACAGCAGGAUUUCAAGUGUAGAGUCAGCCCAGACUUUGAGGAACAUUUCCUCCCACAUCCAGAGCAGGUCAGUGAUUCCUCAUCAUCCUUCUUUCCAAGGACUUGAACCUUUGGAUUCUCCGAAUACUCUGAACCCUCUCUCCAGUCCUCACUGUCAUCCG